This 84-nucleotide transfer RNA is filed under the name Minwuia thermotolerans. It matches the Rfam family "tRNA". From Rfam's summary of the family: Transfer RNA (tRNA) molecules are approximately 80 nucleotides in length. Their secondary structure includes four short double-helical elements and three loops (D, anti-codon, and T loops). Further hydrogen bonds mediate the characteristic L-shaped molecular structure. tRNAs have two regions of fundamental functional importance: the anti-codon, which is responsible for specific mRNA codon recognition, and the 3' end, to which the tRNAs corresponding amino acid is attached (by aminoacyl-tRNA synthetases). tRNAs cope with the degeneracy of the genetic code in two manners: having more than one tRNA (with a specific anti-codon) for a particular amino acid; and 'wobble' base-pairing, i.e. permitting non-standard base-pairing at the 3rd anti-codon position. Lineage: Bacteria; Pseudomonadati; Pseudomonadota; Alphaproteobacteria; Minwuiales; Minwuiaceae. The record is from Rfam by way of RNAcentral.
CCGGGCGUGGCGGAAUUGGUAGACGCAACAGACUUAAAAUCUGUUGGGCGAAUGCCCGUGCCGGUUCGAUCCCGGCCGCCCGGA